UACGGGGGAUGCAAGCGUUAUCCGGAUUUACUGGGUGUAAAGGGAGCGUAGACGGCGGUGCAAGCCAGAUGUGAAAGCCCGGGGCUCAACCCCGGGACUGCAUUUGGAACUGUGCUGCUAGAGUGUCGGAGAGGCAGGCGGAAUUCCUAGUGUAGCGGUGAAAUGCGUAGAUAUGUGGAAGAACACCGAUGGCGAAGGCAGUCUCCUGGGACGCAACUGACGCUCAUACACGAAAGCGUGGGGAGCAAACAGG
RNAcentral lists this ribosomal RNA (253 nucleotides) under uncultured Blautia sp. RNAcentral's name for it is "partial 16S ribosomal RNA". It matches the Rfam family "Bacterial small subunit ribosomal RNA", at positions 524 to 776 of the family's 1533-position model. Lineage: Bacteria; Bacillati; Bacillota; Clostridia; Lachnospirales; Lachnospiraceae. The record is from RNAcentral.